Molecule: ribosomal RNA, 468 nt
Filed under: uncultured bacterium
Lineage: Bacteria
Description: partial 16S ribosomal RNA
Rfam family: Bacterial small subunit ribosomal RNA
Source: RNAcentral
GACGAACGCUGGCGGCGUGCUUAACACAUGCAAGUCGAACGGAAAGGCCCUGCUUUUGUGGGGUGCUCGAGUGGCGAACGGGUGAGUAACACGUGAGUAACCUGCCCUUGACUUUGGGAUAACUUCAGGAAACUGUGGCUAAUACCGGAUAGGAGCUCCUGCUGCAUGGUGGGGGUUGGAAAGUUUCGGCGGUUGGGGAUGGACUCGCGGCUUAUCAGCUUGUUGGUGGGGUAGUGGCUUACCAAGGCUUUGACGGGUAGCCGGCCUGAGAGGGUGACCGGCGACAUUGGGACUGAGAUACGGCCCAGACGCCUACGGGAGGCAGCAGUGGGGAAUAUUACACAAUGGGCGGAAGCCUGAUGCAGCAACGCCGCGUGCGGGAUGACGGCCUUCGGGUUGUAAACCGCUUUCGCCUGUGACGAAGCGUGAGUGACGGUAAUGGGUAAAGAAGCACCGGCUAACUACGUG